GGCGGGAUUACCCGCUGAGUUUAAGCAUAUCAAUAAGCGGAG
Molecule: ribosomal RNA, 42 nt
Filed under: Schultesianthus leucanthus
Lineage: Eukaryota; Viridiplantae; Streptophyta; Magnoliopsida; Solanales; Solanaceae
Also listed under: 1 other name
Description: partial 26S ribosomal RNA
Source: RNAcentral